ACGGAAGGCAGCAGUGGGGAAUAUUGCACAAUGGGCGAAAGCCUGAUGCAGCGACGCCGCGUGAGUGAAGAAGUAUCUCGGUAUGUAAAGCUCUAUCAGCAGGGAAGAAAAUGACGGUACCUGACUAAGAAGCCCCGGCUAACUACGUGCCAGCAGCCGCGGUAAUACGUAGGGGGCAAGCGUUAUCCGGAUUUACUGGGUGUAAAGGGAGCGUAGACGGUUUGGCAAGUCUGAAGUGAAAUGCGGGGGCUCAACUCCUGAACUGCUGUGGAAACUGUCGAACUAGAGUGCAGGAGAGGUAAGUGGAAUUCCUAGUGUAGCGGUGAAAUGCGUAGAUAUUAGGAGGAACACCAGUGGCGAAGGCGGCUUACUGGACUGUAACUGACGUUGAGGCUCGAAAGCGUGGGGAGCAAACAGGAUUAGAUACCCUGGUA
This 434-nucleotide ribosomal RNA is filed under the name uncultured Lachnospiraceae bacterium. Its description in RNAcentral is "partial 16S ribosomal RNA". It matches the Rfam family "Bacterial small subunit ribosomal RNA", at positions 341 to 792 of the family's 1533-position model. The record is from RNAcentral. Lineage: Bacteria; Bacillati; Bacillota; Clostridia; Lachnospirales; Lachnospiraceae.